RNAcentral lists this ribosomal RNA (253 nucleotides) under uncultured bacterium. RNAcentral's name for it is "partial 16S ribosomal RNA". It matches the Rfam family "Bacterial small subunit ribosomal RNA", at positions 524 to 776 of the family's 1533-position model. The record is from RNAcentral.
UACGUAGGCAGCAAGCGUUGUUCGGAGUUACUGGGCGUAAAGGGUGUGUAGGCGGUUGCUUAAGUUUGGUGUGAAAUCUCCCGGCUCAACUGGGAGGGUGCGCCGAAUACUGAGUGACUCGAGUGCGGGAGAGGAAAGUGGAAUUCCAGGUGUAGCGGUGAAAUGCGUAGAUAUCUGGAGGAACACCGGUGGUGUAGACGGCUUUCUGGACCGUAACUGACGCUGAGACACGAAAGCGUGGGUAGCAAACGGG